This 503-nucleotide ribosomal RNA is filed under the name uncultured bacterium. Its description in RNAcentral is "bacterial SSU rRNA". It matches the Rfam family "Bacterial small subunit ribosomal RNA", at positions 355 to 874 of the family's 1533-position model. The record is from RNAcentral.
UGGGGAAUCUUGGACAAUGGGGGCAACCCUGAUCCAGCCAUGCCGCGUGAGUGAUGAAGGCCUUAGGGUCGUAAAGCUCUUUCGCCUGUGAAGAUAAUGACGGUAGCAGGUAAAGAAACCCCGGCUAACUCCGUGCCAGCAGCCGCGGUAAUACGGAGGGGGUUAGCGUUGUUCGGAAUUACUGGGCGUAAAGCGCACGUAGGCGGACCAGAAAGUUGGGGGUGAAAUCCCGGGGGCUCAACCCCGGAACUGCCUCCAAAACUAUUGGUCUAGAGUUCGAGAGAGGUGAGUGGAAUUCCCAGUGUAGAGGUGAAAUUCGUAGAUAUUGGGAAGAACACCAGUGGCGAAGGCGGCUAUCUGGACCGAUACUGACGCUGAGGCGCGAAAGCGUGGGGAGCAAACAGGAUUAGAUACCCUGGUAGUCCACGCCGUAAAACGAUGAGUGCCAGUCGUCGGGUAGCAUGCUAUUCGGUGACACACCUAACGGAUUAAGCAUUCCGCCU